Molecule: ribosomal RNA, 253 nt
Filed under: uncultured prokaryote
Description: partial 16S ribosomal RNA
Rfam family: Bacterial small subunit ribosomal RNA
Source: RNAcentral
UACAGAGGGUGCAAGCGUUGUUCGGGAUUAUUGGGCGUAAAGGGUGCGUAGGCGGUGCGGUAAGUCUCUUGUGAAAUCUCCAGGCUCAACCUGGAGCCUGCAAGGGAAACUGCCGUGCUUGAGUGUGGGAGAGGUGAGUGGAAUUCCCGGUGUAGCGGUGAAAUGCGUAGAGAUCGGGAGGAAGGCCGGUGGCGAAGGCGGCGCUCUGGAACAUUUCUGACGCUGAGGCUCGAAAGCGUGGGGAGCAAACAGG